UAACAAGUUUGAUGCCCAUGUAGCAAUGCA
Molecule: non-coding RNA, 30 nt
Filed under: Mus musculus (house mouse)
Lineage: Eukaryota; Metazoa; Chordata; Mammalia; Rodentia; Muridae
Source: RNAcentral